UACGUAGGGUGCGAGCGUUAAUCGGAAUUACUGGGCGUAAAGCGUGCGCAGGCGGUUCGUUGUGUCGGUGGUGAAAGCCCCGGGCUUAACCUGGGAAUGGCCAUGGAAACUGGCGAACUGGAGUGUGGCAGAGGGGGGUGGAAUGCCGCGUGUAGCAGUGAAAUGCGUAGAGAUGCGGCGGAACACCGAUGGCGAAGGCAGCCCCCUGGGCUGAGAUUGACGCUCAGGCACGAAAGCGUGGGGAGCAAACAGG
This 253-nucleotide ribosomal RNA is filed under the name uncultured bacterium. Its description in RNAcentral is "partial 16S ribosomal RNA". It matches the Rfam family "Bacterial small subunit ribosomal RNA", at positions 524 to 776 of the family's 1533-position model. The record is from RNAcentral.